This is a long non-coding RNA of Lolium rigidum, 897 nucleotides long. RefSeq lists it as uncharacterized. NCBI's taxonomy places the organism in Eukaryota, Viridiplantae, Streptophyta, Magnoliopsida, Poales, Poaceae. The record is from RefSeq and is a predicted model, not a curated record. The transcript has 6 exons.
CGAUGGACGGCGAGAGGAGGCGUUGCAGGAGGAAGUUGGCGGCGCGCCGGUGGAGUCGGCAAGGCGGAGGGCGGCGGCGCGUCGCCACAGCCGGCUGCUGCGUUUCGGAGGAGGCGCAGCAGGAGCUGGCUGCUCACCUGGCAGCGCCUCUCCCAUCACCCGCAGGCCGCAGCGGACGAGAGGCCAAGCAGGGGAAGAUGGGGGUGGAGACUGAAGGCCACGACCACCACGCGGGCGCAGCAGAUGGCGAGGACAAGGGAGGCGGCGACCCCCACGCCCUCUCAUCCCUUACCCAUGUUGGGUGCCCAGGAGACAGAAACAUUGCUAUCCAUGUGUCCUGCUGCACGUGUUGCCGCUUCUGAAGCGAUGGAGAGGAGCAACGGAUGGGAACAUGGGGUGCUUGAUAGGAGUGGAUUAAUUAGGUACGAGCCCAAGCGGAAGGCUUCAGGCACGCCUCACUUAGGUGGAAAGAGAUGGAAUAAAUAAAUAAAAGAACGGAAUUCACAACAGGAUCUGUCUUGGUCUAGGUAGAAGAAUUUGCUGCAAGCUGUUGGCCAUCGUGGCCCAAAGCACCAGAAGGAGUACUUAGCGGGAGCGAGCUAGGUGGAGGCGUGAAUUGAGCGCUGGUGCCGUGGAAGCGAGCGUGGGUCACGGGCGCAGCUGAGCGGUCACCAGCGUCUGAAUAAAUUCCACCUGCAACACUAAUAAAUGCACAAUCAGAGAGAAAUGUUGAGAAAAUAGAGGGCAACAAGUGCCUCGCAACUGGCUGAAAAAUCGCACCGAAUGGAGAGAGCGUUGCGUCGACCAGGGACCUGAUCGGGUGUAUGGCACCAUGUCAUGGAGGGGCACUGCGGCCUGUGGCCCAAGGCGCAACAAUUUUUCUCGAUGCCCACAUAC